Molecule: ribosomal RNA, 460 nt
Filed under: uncultured bacterium
Lineage: Bacteria
Description: partial 16S ribosomal RNA
Rfam family: Bacterial small subunit ribosomal RNA
Source: RNAcentral
CCUACGGGAGGCAGCCGUGAGGAAUAUUGGUCAAUGGGCGAGAGCCUGAACCAGCCAAGUCGCGUGAAGGAUGAAGGAUCUAUGGUUUGUAAACUUCUUUUAUAUGGGAAUCAAGUGAGGAACGUGUUCCUUUUUGUAUGUACCAUAUGCAUAAGCAUCGGCUAACUCCGUUCCAUCAUCCCCGGUAAUACGGUGGAUGCGAGCGUUAUGCGGAUGUAUUGGGUUUACAGGGUACGUAGGUGGUUAAUUAAGUCAGCGGUGAAAGUUUGUGGCUCAACCAUACAAUGGCCGUUGAAACUGGUAGACUUGAGUAUAUUUGAGGAAGGUGGAAUGCGUGGUGUAGCGGUGAAAUGCAGAGAUAUAACGAAGAACACCGGUUGCGAAGGCAGCUUACUAAACUAUAACUGACGCUGAAGCACGAAAGCGUGGGGAUCAAACAGGAUUAGAUACCCCAGUAGUC